UACGGAGGAUGCGAGCGUUAUCCGGAUUUAUUGGGCGUAAAGCGAGUGCAGGCGGUUCAAUAAGUCUGAUGUGAAAGCCUUCGGCUCAACCGGAGAAUUGCAUCAGAAACUGUUGAACUUGAGUGCAGAAGAGGAGAGUGGAACUCCAUGUGUAGCGGUGGAAUGCGUAGAUAUUAGGAAGAACACCAGUGGCGAAGGCGGAUUACUGGACGAUAACUGACGGUGAGGCGCGAAAGCGUGGGGAGCAAACAGG
This 253-nucleotide ribosomal RNA is filed under the name uncultured Lactobacillus sp. RNAcentral's name for it is "partial 16S ribosomal RNA". It matches the Rfam family "Bacterial small subunit ribosomal RNA", at positions 524 to 776 of the family's 1533-position model. The record is from RNAcentral. Lineage: Bacteria; Bacillati; Bacillota; Bacilli; Lactobacillales; Lactobacillaceae.